GACCCCAGGUCAGGCGGGGCAACCCGCUGAGUUUAA
RNAcentral lists this ribosomal RNA (36 nucleotides) under Spathiphyllum cannifolium. RNAcentral describes it as "partial 26S ribosomal RNA". Lineage: Eukaryota; Viridiplantae; Streptophyta; Magnoliopsida; Alismatales; Araceae. The record is from RNAcentral.